ACUAAAUUUUUUACUUUUCUAACUUGUAGAGUGGGUAAAAAAAGAAUUAUUGAGUAAUAAAAUAACUGCACUAACUAAUGCAUUGGAAUCGAUACAGACUCUAACUUGAGUGGGUGAAUAAGAAUUAAUAAUUUAAUUAGACUAACCUAGUGGUAUAAAAACUAAUUAAUUAAUCUAGGGAAAUAUCAAAAAGUGGGUCGCAGAGAUGAUGAGGCUGAGAAAACAAUUAAUUAAUCUAGAAUAGAGGAAAAGGUGGAUUAAAUUAAUGAAUGCCUCGAUUCUCUACCCAUAAAGCACAUCUCCAUUUUCAAAACCCAAAAAAUUUUGUUAACACAACAGGAAAACCUCUUCGGCUUAAAUUUUGUUAACACAACAGGAUUAAAUUUUGUUUACUUUUCUAACUUGUAGAGUGGGUAAAAAAGAAUUAUUGAGUAAUAAAAUAACUGCACUAACUAAUGCAUUGGAAUCGAUACAGACUCUAACUUGAGUGGGUGAAUAAGAAUUAAUAAUUUAAUUAGACUAACCUAGUGGUAUAAAAACUAAUUAAUUAAUCUAGGGAAAUAUCAAAAAGUGGGUCGCAGAGAUGAUGAGGCUGAGAAAACAAUUAAUUAAUCUAGAAUAGAGGAAAAGGUGGAUUAAAUUAAUGAAUGCCUCGAUUCUCUACCCAUUAAAGCACAUCUCCAUUUUCAAAACCCAAAAAAUUUUGUUAACACAACAGGAAAACCUCUUCGGCUCGCCCCAGUCGCCCGUCGCCCCCACCGCCCCCGCCGCCCCAACUACGCCCCAACUGCGCCCCAUGAAUCUCGCUCGACUCACCCAUGUCGGGGCGAAGCCGGUCUCGACCUGAGCGCCCCACGCCCCGAGCGCGCUCGGGUUGCGUUUUAACAACACUGUUCUCCAGUUAAAUCUAGAAAUGGAUACUCUUAUUAUGUCUCUUAUUAUGUCUCAUUUGUUGACCAUUUUUCUAAAUUUACCUGGAUUUACUUACUCAAGAAUAAAAGUGAUCUCACUGCUGUUUUUAAGCAGUUCAAGGUUAUGAGUGAAAACCUGCUCGGAUCAAGAAUUAAGAUUCUUCAAUCAGAUUGGGGAGAUGAAUAUCAGGGAUUAGUUCCUUUUCUAAAAGAGAAUGGGAUAGUGCAUAGAGUCUCAUGUCCAUACACCCCACAACAAAAUGGUUUGGCUGAGGGAAAACACAGACACAUUGUAGAAACUGGCCUAGCUUUGUUAGCUCAAUCCUUCCUCCCUCAGAGGUUCUGGGAUGAUUCAUUUGUCACAGCCGUUUAUCUUAUCAAUCUUAUGCCAUCUAAAAUUAUCAACAACAUUUCUCCACAUGAGGCUCUCUUUCUCUCCAAACCUGAUUACUCAGCUUUCAGAAUCUUUGGUUGUCUGUGCUUUCCUCUUACUAGGCCUUAUAACAAUCAUAAACUCCAACUGGGAUAUAGUACCUCUCACAAACUACAAUUGUGAUUGUGCCAAGUAUGCCAGUUAAGGUGGAGGACCACCGUUGUACUUGGAGAGACGUGUUGCUCAAUGGAAUGAAGAAGAGAGAUUUUGCAAAGUUUGUUAAAGUAGACUAGUACAAUGUUCAGAGUUUGUUAAAGUAGAUUAGUACAAUGUCCUAUAGUGAAGAAUAUAUAUGUAUUGUAACUUGUUACAUUCGAUGCAAUGAAAAAUGCUGAUUUGAGAGCUCUCUCCAAACAUAACUCUAGCAUGUGUAUCUUUAUAGCUUCCGCAGUUUCUUUUCAAUUUGUAAAGGUGUUGAAGGGUUCUUCUUGCUAGACUUCAACUUAAGCUCAUUUUUUUAUAACAACCUCCUCUCACUCUCAAACUUACUAUUGAUGUUUUGGUAUGUUGUGGUAAAGGGAGUGAGGCCGGGGGGUACACCCCAUAUAUAAGGAUUUUGUAACUGAAAACCUGUAAGGCAGAUUUUUGUGCAGGAAUGAGAUCUCAAUUUGUUAUCCUACAGUAGAUGUCCUUCUUCUUAGUACCUUGCAGCACCUUUAACUGAUUUUAGUGGUGAUUCGCAGGUACACAAGGUGGGGCAGUGGCGGUUGGAGCUGGGGUGCAGGGUUGCUGCAGCUGUGCUGCAGUUUUCUCCCUUUUUCUGGCUCGUGGCAGCCUCUCGGCUGGUGGAGGAAAGGCUGUAGGAGCUGCCAUCUUGCCUUGCCUUGCCUUGUAUUCUUGGCAAGUAUUCUUGGUCUUCAUCAAAGGUGUGUGAGGACGGCUGCCAUUGUCGUUGCACUGUGGCUUUGUUGCUCUGGCCGGCGGUCCAUUUGACUCGGCUCAUAACACGUGUGAUUUUCCUUGGGUUCGAAGGACGUCGGGCUAAUAUCUCACAUUCCUAACUUGUAAUAGCAUAGUGCUUCUCCAAGCUUUCUUUUCUUUCAACAUGUACGAAAUAUUUAUAGAGUUAGCUGUAUUGUUUUCCCUUCAUUUUCAUUGUCA
Long non-coding RNA from Salvia splendens (bonfire salvia), 2445 nucleotides. RefSeq lists it as uncharacterized. The transcript is spliced from 2 exons. The record is from RefSeq and is a predicted model, not a curated record. Lineage: Eukaryota; Viridiplantae; Streptophyta; Magnoliopsida; Lamiales; Lamiaceae.